Molecule: ribosomal RNA, 566 nt
Filed under: Escherichia coli
Lineage: Bacteria; Pseudomonadati; Pseudomonadota; Gammaproteobacteria; Enterobacterales; Enterobacteriaceae
Description: bacterial SSU rRNA
Rfam family: Bacterial small subunit ribosomal RNA
Source: RNAcentral
AAAUUGAAGAGUUUGAUCAUGGCUCAGAUUGAACGCUGGCGGCAGGCCUAACACAUGCAAGUCGAACGGUAACAGGAAGCAGCUUGCUGCUUCGCUGACGAGUGGCGGACGGGUGAGUAAUGUCUGGGAAACUGCCUGAUGGAGGGGGAUAACUACUGGAAACGGUAGCUAAUACCGCAUAACGUCGCAAGACCAAAGAGGGGGACCUUCGGGCCUCUUGCCAUCGGAUGUGCCCAGAUGGGAUUAGCUAGUAGGUGGGGUAACGGCUCACCUAGGCGACGAUCCCUAGCUGGUCUGAGAGGAUGACCAGCCACACUGGAACUGAGACACGGUCCAGACUCCUACGGGAGGCAGCAGUGGGGAAUAUUGCACAAUGGGCGCAAGCCUGAUGCAGCCAUGCCGCGUGUAUGAAGAAGGCCUUCGGGUUGUAAAGUACUUUCAGCGGGGAGGAAGGGAGUAAAGUUAAUACCUUUGCUCAUUGACGUUACCCGCAGAAGAAGCACCGGCUAACUCCGUGCCAGCAGCCGCGGUAAUACGGAGGGUGCAAGCGUUAAUCGGAAUUACUG